RNAcentral lists this long non-coding RNA (311 nucleotides) under Solanum melongena (eggplant). RNAcentral's name for it is "long non-coding RNA (SMEL_LNC000061)". The record is from RNAcentral. Lineage: Eukaryota; Viridiplantae; Streptophyta; Magnoliopsida; Solanales; Solanaceae.
GGCACCGAAUAUCCCAAUCGGCCAACCUUUCCCUCAAGGCCUGCUGCUACACCUUUUGGUGUUCCGCAGAGUACAACUCCUUUUCAAUCAUCUCGUCCAGUGGUUGGAUCUGAUGCUUCUGCUUUUCGGCCUGCUCCUCCUACUUCUUCUCCGGCUAUGCCACCUCCUUCCUCAUCUGGACCGAUGGUUGGACCAGGGAUAUCUUCUUUUAGACCGAUGCCACCCGGGAUGCCUAAUGAUGCAGGGAGGCCACCUCCAACAUCAACACCUCCAUAUGGGCCGACAGUCUCUGGCCCUUUCCCACGUUUCCC